Physeter macrocephalus (sperm whale) is the source of this 1618-nucleotide long non-coding RNA. RefSeq lists it as uncharacterized. The transcript has 5 exons. NCBI's taxonomy places the organism in Eukaryota, Metazoa, Chordata, Mammalia, Artiodactyla, Physeteridae. The record is from RefSeq and is a predicted model, not a curated record.
UUCUUUGCAGCUCAGGGAAAACUGCCACUGUCCUUUCCUGGUUGUCUGCUUCACAGUCUCCCAAGUGCCUAUUUUACCAGUAGGAUCCAUUAAUGGAAACAAUCAGGAGCCGGGAGAAAUUCAGGCUUUUUCAACGGUGCAGCUGGGAAAUUACAACUCCCACUAGAACACCAGUACCAUGAGGGCAAGGAUUUUCGUCUGCAUUCUCACCACCAUCAUCCCAGUGCCUGGGACAGUGCUGGGCACCUAGAAGCACUAUUUACAAUAGCCAGGACGUGGAAGCAACCUAAGUGUCCAUCGACAGAUGAAUGGAUAAAGAAGAUGUGGCACAUGUAUACAAUGGAAUGUUACUCAGCCAUUAAAAGGAACGAAAUUGAGUUACUUGUAGUGAUGUGGAUGGACCUAGAAGCUGUCAUACAGAGUGAAAAAAAAUGACUAAGUGUGAGUAACACUAAAAUAAACUUCCUGUAAAUUGCGAGAGGGAUACAUUGAAGGGGAGAAAAGCUCAGUGUUUCUACCACCGUUUGUGAAUUGUGUUACCAUGGAAACUGGUACCAUAAAACAGGCCACUUUGUUAUUCGACAAAGUAUUUAUUAGUUUCUGCAAUCAAAAAAGAAAACAAAAGGGGAUUUGAAAACAUUUUCAAGACCUCAGAAAGGAACUCCAGGACUUCCCCGGUGACACAGUGGUUGGGAGUCCUCCUGCCAGUGCGGGGGACACGGCUUAAAGCCCUGUUCCAGGAGGAUCCCACAUGCCGUGGAGCAACUAAGCCUGCGAGCCACAACUACUGAGCCCGCGUGCUGCAGCUGCUGAGGCCCGCACGCCUGGAGCCCGUGCUCCUCAGCGGGAGAGGCCACUGCAGUGAGAGGUCCUCGCACCGUGGUGAAGAGCGGCCCCUGUUCGCCACAGCUGGGGAGGGCCUGCAUGCAGCAACGAAGACCCAACGCAGCAAAAAAUAAAUUAAUUAAAUAAAUUUUUUUAAAAAUGAACUCCAUAUCCAUUAGUAGUCACUCCCCAUCUCCUACUCCCCCCACUCCCUGGAACCACUAAUGGACUCUAUGGAUUUGCCUGUUCUGGUCAUUUCAGAUAAAUGCAAUCAUAUACUACGUGGCCUUUUCUGUCUGGCUUCUUUCACUUAGCAUGUUUUCAAGGUUCAUCUUUUUGUGGCAUGUAUCAUAACUUCAUUCCAUUUUAUGGCCAAAAAAUAUUCUGUUGUAUGGCUAUCCCACAUUUUGUUAUUCAUUCAUUAAUUGAUGGAUAUUUGGGUUAUUGCUACAUGUUUGCUAUUAAGAAUAAUGCUGCUAUGAACAUUCAUGUGCAAGUUUUUUUGUGUGUAUGUAUAUAUUAUCAACUUUUGGGGGUAUAUACCUAGGAGCAGGAUUGCUAGAUUAUAUAGUAACUCUAUGUUAAUUUAUUGAGGAACUGCCAAACUGUUUUUCACAGUAGCUGCAUCAUUUUUCAUUUCUACCAGCAGUGUAUCAGCAUUCUGAUUUCUCCACAUCCUCACCAACACUUGUUUUAAUCUUAUUAUAGCCAUCUUAGUGGGUGUGAAGUAGUACCUCAUUGUGGUUUUGAUUUGCAUUUCUGUAAUGAUUAACGAUGUUGAACAUAUUUUCAU